This 367-nucleotide ribosomal RNA is filed under the name uncultured bacterium. RNAcentral describes it as "bacterial SSU rRNA". It matches the Rfam family "Bacterial small subunit ribosomal RNA", at positions 527 to 896 of the family's 1533-position model. The record is from RNAcentral.
GUAGGUGGCAAGCGUUGUCCGGAUUUAUUGGGUUUAAAGGGUGCGUAGGCGGCCCUGUAAGUCAGUGGUGAAAUACGGCAGCUCAACUGUCGAGGUGCCAUUGAUACUGCGGGGCUUGAGUGUUGAUGAGGCAGGCGGAAUUGACGGUGUAGCGGUGAAAUGCUUAGAUAUCGUCAAGAACACCGAUAGCGAAGGCAGCUUGCCAAGCAAUAACUGACGCUGAGGCACGAAAGUGCGGGGAUCAAACAGGAUUAGAUACCCUGGUAGUCCGCACAGUAAACGAUGAUUACUCGAUGUUGGCGAUACACAGCCAGCGUCUUAGCGAAAGCGAUAAGUAAUCCACCUGGGGAGUACGCCCGCAAGGGUG